Molecule: ribosomal RNA, 492 nt
Filed under: uncultured bacterium
Lineage: Bacteria
Description: partial 16S ribosomal RNA
Rfam family: Bacterial small subunit ribosomal RNA
Source: RNAcentral
AGUGAACGCUGGCGGUAGGCCUAACACAUGCAAGUCGAACGGCAGCACAGUAAGAGCUUGCUCUUACGGGUGGCGAGUGGCGGACGGGUGAGGAAUACAUCGGACUCUACUUUUUCGUGGGGGAUAACGUAGGGAAACUUACGCUAAUACCGCAUACGACCUACGGUUGAAAGCAUGGGAUCUUCGGACCUUGCGCGAUUGAAUGCGCCGAUGUCGGAUUAGCUAGUUGGCGGGGUAAAGGCCCACCAAGGCGACGAUCCGUAGCUGGUCUGAGAGGAGGAUAGGCAACACUGGAAGUGGGACAGGGUCAAGACGCCUACGGGAGGCAGCAGUGGGGAAUAUGGGACAAUGGGCGCAAGCAUGAUCCAGCCAGACCGCGUGGGUGAAGAAGGCCUUCGGGUUGUAAAGCCCUUUUGUGGGGAAAGAAAAGCAGCAGGUUAAUACGCAGCGGGUCUGACGGUACCCAAAGAAUAAGCACCGGCUAACUUCGUG